CCACUCCCUCCAACGGCAAGACCUAGUACAAUAUACCUGGAUCUAAAAAUAAUCUCGUUCUCCCUCACCAGUCACCACGCAACACCCCGUCAUUCCCUUCACUGUGCCAACCGUGGUUCUCAGCAGCAUCGCCAUCCGCUUUUCCCCCUCAGCACGUCGUGAAUCCAUGAAUCCGAACCUUGGUUGCCAUCGCGUUUGUCGUUGCAGGUUCACAUGCAGGAGACGAGGCUCUCGUUGUGGGUUCCCGUGAUAACUGUCACUGGUUAGCGUGAACAUCCAUGGUUUCUCGUACGGGCGCUCUCCAUCCGCUUCUUCACUGGCAGCUCCGUGCCCCUCCGCAUCUUCUGCUCUCAUAUCCUUUCUUGUUUCCUUGAACUUAUUCACUGCUCAGUCAAAAACUCAUGUCUUCCGGCGAAGACAACAUGGCGGCGAUAGAGUGGAAGUGAUAGCAACAAAGAUCAGAACAUACCUGAGGCCCAAGCUAUGGAUGAAGACAGACCCGAGACCCACGAUGGAAGGCCCAAGAGAAGUACCAAGCGACCUGCGUAUCUGGACAAUUACACAUAACAAUUAUUGGGGAAGAAUUAAGGGAGUUAUUUACAACUGUUUUUCCAUUUCAGAAUUCUGUUAGAAAAGCUGCUAGGAACCCGUUAUUGCAAUCAUGCUUUGUAAAUUUUAUUACACAGAAUCACCCCACGAAAUGUAUUUAAAUAAGAUUGCAAUGAAUUAAAUGGUAAGAAGAAUUCCAUAAACUUUGCUCAUGUGGAAGCAGAAAGCACUGAGAAUGGUAUCGAUAUUGUGAAGCGUAUGGGUCGUUACAGUGGUGGCAAUGAGGAGUAAAGCUCUAAACCUGGUUCAUGUCCUUGAUAGUGCUGCUGCUGCUACUACAACUGCACCUGUUGUUGUCUCACCUAUGAGACUUUGGAUUCAUGUCCUUCUCUAACAAUACAAAUUUAAGUUGUACGAGGGAAGAGGCUCUGGAUUUCGGUGCCUUUAGCGUUUCUGAUGGAGGGAAGCAGUUACUUGAUAACAUAUUGUGCAUUAAUAUGAGUGGAUUGACUGGACCUAUUCAAUUUGGUUUAGAUAGAUCUCCUCUAAAUCCAUCAUAUGGCAUUCUUAAUGUAAUUGCUACAGGUUAUAGGAGAAUCGGCUACUGGUCUAGUUACUCUGACCUUUCUGUAAUAACCCCUGAGAAACUUCAUGCAGAGCCUGCCAAUCGUUCAAUUUGAAGCCAACAUCUAAACUGUGUCAUAUGGCCAGGAAAUACAACAGAAAAGCCUCAUGGAUGGAUUUUCCCAAAUAACGGGAGGUAACUGAGAAUUGGAAUUCCCAACAGAGUUAGCUAUUAAGAUAUGAUCUCCCAAAUAAAUGACACCAAUGCAAUUCAAGGAUAUUGCAUAGAUAUAUUCCUAGCUGCCUUUAAAUUGCUUCCCUAUGCAGUUCAAUACAAGUUCAUUCUGUUUGGAGAUGGACACAAGAACCCAAGCUACUGUGAUCUUGUCAACAUGAUUACUUCUGAUGUAAGUAAUA
Molecule: long non-coding RNA, 1530 nt
Organism: Glycine soja
Lineage: Eukaryota; Viridiplantae; Streptophyta; Magnoliopsida; Fabales; Fabaceae
Exons: 3
Source: RefSeq, a predicted model, not a curated record